This 73-nucleotide transfer RNA is filed under the name Cordylochernes scorpioides. RNAcentral describes it as "tRNA-Phe". Lineage: Eukaryota; Metazoa; Arthropoda; Arachnida; Pseudoscorpiones; Chernetidae. The record is from RNAcentral.
UGCCGAAACCCGGGAUCGAACCAGGGACCUUUUGUUCUUCAGUCUGAAGCUCUCCCAACUGAGCUAUUUCGGU